GCGCGAAAACUUUACAAUGCUGGCAACAGCGAUAAGGGAACCUCGAGUGCCAGGUUACAAAUCUGGCUGUCGAGAUGCCUAAAAAGCAUUUCAUAGCAAGGGCCGGGCAAGACCGGUGCCAGCCGCCGCGGUAACACCGGCGGCUCGAGUGGUAACCGUUAUUAUUGGGUCUAAAGGGUCUGUAGCCGGCCGGAUAAGUCUCUUGAGAAAUCUGGCAGCUUAACUGUCAGGCUUUCAGGAGAUACUGUCUGGCUCGAGGCCGGGAGAGGUGAGAGGUACUUCAGGGGUAGGGUGAAAUCGUUGUAAUCCUUGAAGGACCACCAGUGGCGAAGGCGUCUCACCAGAACGGACCUGACGGCAAGGGACGAAAGCUAGGGCACGAACCGGAUUAGAGACCCC
Molecule: ribosomal RNA, 399 nt
Filed under: uncultured bacterium
Lineage: Bacteria
Description: bacterial SSU rRNA
Rfam family: Archaeal small subunit ribosomal RNA
Source: RNAcentral